This 382-nucleotide ribosomal RNA is filed under the name uncultured bacterium. Its description in RNAcentral is "partial 16S ribosomal RNA". It matches the Rfam family "Bacterial small subunit ribosomal RNA", at positions 415 to 795 of the family's 1533-position model. The record is from RNAcentral.
CCUACGGGCUGUAAACUUCUUUUAUAAAGGAAUAUAGUGAGGCACGUGUGCCUUUUUGUAUGUACUUUAUGAAUCAGGACUGGGUAACUUCGUCCUCUCAUCUGCGGUAACACGGAGGGUCCCAGCGUUAUCCGGGUUUAUUGGGUUUGAAGGGAGCGCAGCUGGGUUGUUAACACCGUUGGGAAAGUUUGCGGCUGAACCGUAAAAUUGCAAUUGAUACUGGCAGUCUUGAGUACAGUUGAGGUAGGCGGAAUUCGUGGUGUAGCGGUGAAAUGCUUAGAUAUCACGAAGAACUCCGAUUGCGAAGGCAGCUUACUGAACUGCCACUGACAUUGAUGCACGAAAGUGUGGGUAUCUAACAGGAUUAGAUACCCUUGUAGUC